AGCGAACGCUGGCGGUAGGCUUAACACAUGCAAGUCGAACGGCAGCACAGUAAGAGCUUGCUCUUACGGGUGGCGAGUGGCGGACGGGUGAGGAAUACAUCGGAAUCUACUCUUUCGUGGGGGAUAACGUAGGGAAACCUACGCUAAUACCGCAUACGACCUACGGGUGAAAGCAGGGGAUCUUCGGACCUUGCGCGAUUGAAUGAGCCGAUGUCGGAUUAGCUAGUUGGCGGGGUAAAGGCCCACCAAGGCGACGAUCCGUAGCUGGUCUGAGAGGAUGGUCGGCCACACUGGAGCUGGGACACGGUCCAGACUCCUACGGGAGGCAGCAGUGGGGAAUGUUAGACAGUGGGCGCAAGCCUGAUCCAGCCGUACCGCGUGGGUGAAGAAGGCCUUCGGGUUGUAAAGCCCUUUUGUUGGGAGAGAAAAGCAGCAGGUUGAUACCCCGCUGUUCUGACGGUACCCAAAGAAUAAGCACCGGCUAACUUCGUG
Molecule: ribosomal RNA, 492 nt
Filed under: uncultured bacterium
Lineage: Bacteria
Description: partial 16S ribosomal RNA
Rfam family: Bacterial small subunit ribosomal RNA
Source: RNAcentral